Molecule: ribosomal RNA, 492 nt
Filed under: uncultured bacterium
Lineage: Bacteria
Description: partial 16S ribosomal RNA
Rfam family: Bacterial small subunit ribosomal RNA
Source: RNAcentral
AGUGAACGCUGGCGGUAGGCCUAACACAUGCAAGUCGAACGGCAGCACAGUAAGAGCUUGCUCUUACGGGUGGCGAGUGGCGGACGGGUGGGGAAUACAUCGGAAUCUACUUUUUCGUGGGGGAUAACGUAGGGAAACUUACGCUAAUACCGCAUACGACCUACGGGUGAAAGCAGGGGAUCUUCGGACCUUGCGCGAUUGAAUGAGCCGAUGUCGGAUUAGCUAGUUGGCGGGGUAAAGGCCCACCAAGGCGACGAUCCGUAGCUGGACUGAGAGGAUGAUCAGCCACACUGGAACUGAGACACGGUCCAGACUCCUACGGGAGGCAGCAGUGGGGAAUAUUGGACAAUGGGCGCAAGCCUGAUCCAGCCAUACCGCGUGGGUGAAGAAGGCCUUCGGGUUGUAAAGCCCUUUUGUUGGGUAAGAAAAGCAGCAGGUUAAUACCCCGCUGUUCUGACGGUACCCAAAGAAUAAGCACCGGCUAACUUCGUG